This 488-nucleotide ribosomal RNA is filed under the name uncultured bacterium. RNAcentral's name for it is "SSU rRNA". It matches the Rfam family "Bacterial small subunit ribosomal RNA", at positions 26 to 521 of the family's 1533-position model. The record is from RNAcentral.
AGGACGAACGCUGGCGGCGUGCUUCACACAUGCAAGUCGAACGGGGCUCAUUCGGUGGUAACACCGGAGAAGGCCUAGUGGCGAACGGGUGCGUAACACGUGAAGAACCUGCCCCGAAGACUGGGAUAACAGCGGGAAACCGCUGCUAAUACCGGAUGACCCCACCAGGCCGCAUGGCCAGGUGAGGAAAUGGGCCUACCGCUUCGGGAGGGCUUCGCGGCCUAUCAGCUUGUUGGUGGGGUAACGGCCUACCAAGGCUACGACGGGUAGCUGGUCUGAGAGGACGACCAGCCACACUGGGACUGAGACACGGCCCAGACUCCUACGGGAGGCAGCAGUGGGGAAUCUUGCGCAAUGGGCGAAAGCCUGACGCAGCAACGCCGCGUGAGGGAUGAAGGUCUUCGGGUUGUAAACCUCUUUCGAGCAGGGACGAUUGUGACGGUACCUGCAGAAGAAGCUCCGGCCAACUACGUGCCAGCAGUCGCGGU